This 166-nucleotide ribosomal RNA is filed under the name Staphylococcus aureus. Its description in RNAcentral is "partial 16S ribosomal RNA". It matches the Rfam family "Bacterial small subunit ribosomal RNA", at positions 1214 to 1378 of the family's 1533-position model. The record is from RNAcentral. Lineage: Bacteria; Bacillati; Bacillota; Bacilli; Caryophanales; Staphylococcaceae.
CUACACACGUGCUACAAUGGACACUACAAAGGGCAGCGAAACCGCGAGGUCAAGCAACUCCCAUAAAGUUGUUCUCAGUUCGGAUUGUAGUCUGCUACUCGACUACAUGAAGCUGGAAUCGCUAGUAAUCGUAGAUCAGCAUGCUACGGUGAAUACGUUCCCGGGU